AUCCAACGGACGAGUCCCAAAUAGAACGAAACACGAGGUUUUGGAU
RNAcentral lists this non-coding RNA (46 nucleotides) under Schistosoma margrebowiei. Lineage: Eukaryota; Metazoa; Platyhelminthes; Trematoda; Strigeidida; Schistosomatidae. The record is from RNAcentral.